UUGAUCCUGGCUCAGGAUGAACGCUGGCGGCGUGCUUAACACAUGCAAGUCGAACGAUGAAGCCCAGCUUGCUGGGUGGAUUAGUGGCGAACGGGUGAGUAACACGUGAGUAACCUGCCCUUAACUCUGGGAUAAGCCUGGGAAACUGGGUCUAAUACCGGAUAGGAGCGUCCACCGCAUGGUGGGUGUUGGAAAGAUUUAUCGGUUUUGGAUGGACUCGCGGCCUAUCAGCUUGUUGGUGAGGUAAUGGCUCACCAAGGCGACGACGGGUAGCCGGCCUGAGAGGGUGACCGGCCACACUGGGACUGAGACACGGCC
RNAcentral lists this ribosomal RNA (318 nucleotides) under Micrococcus luteus. Its description in RNAcentral is "bacterial SSU rRNA". It matches the Rfam family "Bacterial small subunit ribosomal RNA", at positions 13 to 331 of the family's 1533-position model. The record is from RNAcentral. Lineage: Bacteria; Bacillati; Actinomycetota; Actinomycetes; Micrococcales; Micrococcaceae.